CCCAUCUGGGUAACUGGGUGGGGGAAGUGGCGAAAGGGGCAGUAAGGCGUGGGUAACCUACCCCGGGGACGUGGAUAGCCGUUCUAACGGACGGGUAAUACGCGGCGAUUCGGCGAAGGGGCAUCUCUUUGCCGGGAAAUGAAUUUCGCCUCGGGAGGGGCUCACGUGAUAUUAGCUUGUUGGCGGGGUAACGGCCCACCAAGGCGAAGAUGUCUAGCGGGUGUGAGAGCACGACCCGCGCCACUGGCACUGAGACACUGGCCAGACACCUACGGGUGGCUGCAGUCGAGGAUCUUCGGCAAUGGGCGCAAGCCUGACCGAGCGACGCCGCGUGUGCGAUGAAGGCCUUCGGG
RNAcentral lists this ribosomal RNA (353 nucleotides) under uncultured bacterium. Its description in RNAcentral is "bacterial SSU rRNA". It matches the Rfam family "Bacterial small subunit ribosomal RNA", at positions 70 to 422 of the family's 1533-position model. The record is from RNAcentral.